CCUACGGGAGGCAGCAGUAGGGAAUCUUCCGCAAUGGACGAAAGUCUGACGGAGCAACGCCGCGUGAGUGAUGAAGGUUUUCGGAUUGUAAAACUCUGUUGUUAGGGAAGAACAAGUACCGUUCGAAUAGGGCGGUACCUUGACGGUACCUAACCAGAAAGCCACGGCUAACUACGUGCCAGCAGCCGCGGUAAUACGUAGGUGGCAAGCGUUGUCCGGAAUUAUUGGGCGUAAAGCGCGCGCAGGCGGUUUCUUAAGUCUGAUGUGAAAGCCCCCGGCUCAACCGGGGAGGGUCAUUGGAAACUGGGGAACUUGAGUGCAGAAGAGGAGAGUGGAAUUCCACGUGUAGCGGUGAAAUGCGUAGAGAUGUGGAGGAACACCAGUGGCGAAGGCGACUCUCUGGUCUGUAACUGACGCUGAGCGCGAAAGC
This 430-nucleotide ribosomal RNA is filed under the name Bacillus licheniformis. RNAcentral's name for it is "bacterial SSU rRNA". It matches the Rfam family "Bacterial small subunit ribosomal RNA", at positions 338 to 760 of the family's 1533-position model. Lineage: Bacteria; Bacillati; Bacillota; Bacilli; Caryophanales; Bacillaceae. The record is from RNAcentral.